ACGUAGGAUCCAAGCGUUAUCCGGAUUUACUGGGUUUAAAGGGUGCGUAGGCGGUUAAAUAAGUCAGUGGUGAAAUUCUGUUGCUUAACAGCAGAACUGCCACAGAUACUGUUUGACUUGAGUACAGUUGAAGUAGGCGGAAUGUGACAAGUAGCGGUGAAAUGCAUAGAUAUGUCACAGAACACCGAUAGCGAAGGCAGCUUGCUAAGCUGUUACUGACGCUGAAGCACGAAAGCGUGGGGAUCAAACAG
RNAcentral lists this ribosomal RNA (251 nucleotides) under uncultured prokaryote. Its description in RNAcentral is "partial 16S rRNA". It matches the Rfam family "Bacterial small subunit ribosomal RNA", at positions 525 to 775 of the family's 1533-position model. The record is from RNAcentral.